Molecule: long non-coding RNA, 2193 nt
Filed under: Mytilus galloprovincialis (Mediterranean mussel)
Lineage: Eukaryota; Metazoa; Mollusca; Bivalvia; Mytilida; Mytilidae
Source: RNAcentral
CACAGAUUGACUCAAAACUGACAUUGAGAACAUGCAUACGGAGACAAUACAUACAUGUAUAUAUGUAAAAGAAUUAUAUUAAAGUUAAUAUACUAAAUAUUCCCCAGUUAAAUCUUAAUCUUGGAGACUUACUAAUAAUUGAAUAAUAUGUGCAUAGUUGUUGAUCCAAUAACAAUGAAAUAAAAGCAUAUACUGCAAGGCCUUAAAUAAAAUAUUGUUUGUUUCCCCAAUCCCGACCGACCCUGCAAAAACAGUGCUACUCAUAAAAUUUUAUUGUCAAAUUUAAGUCAAUAUUAUUUUAUUCAUUUCCGAUUUUCAGGCUUGCAGGAUCGUCCAAUGUUGUUCAAGCUUUUUGGAAAAAAUAAAAUUAUUUCCCUACCUUCCGACCCACACCUGGCUUGGCAGGGUCGGGAUUGGGGAAACAAACAAUAUAUUAAUUUAGGCCCAGUAUUCUAGAUAGAAAAAAAGGACACAUCAUUUUAUAUAGUAACAUUAACACAGUUUCUAGUCUGAUAAGGCAAACUUGAUCAUUUUUACUGAUACAAAUUUGAAAUAGUUCAAUAGAUUUAUCUAUUUUUGUUUGAUUUAUUUAUUAAGAUAUUUUUUAUCAUUAUAAUUUGUAACUCAUUGAAAAUCUUGAAUAACAACUUUAAAUAUAUAUAAAUGUAAUUGUUUGUUGUUAAUAUAAUGAUACAUGUACCAAGAUUGAAAGAAGAAAGUCUGAUGAUUGAGUGGGUUGAUGUAUAAACAGGUUAUUUAUUUAUAAUAAACGUAUUUUUGUAUUCUGUAUUGCUGUAUAGAUUUUUUUCUAAAUAUCAUAUGAACUUUAUAUGAGGAUAAGAAUGAGGUAUUGUACCCCACAAGACGAAUGAUGGUAAUAUUUGUUAAACUAAUGCUAACGAUUUAAAACAUUUUACUCCAUUUGACACUAACAGCAACCUCAAAUGAGAUUAGACAAAUAAUGACAAAAAAAGGUUUGUUUGUUGAUAACGGUAAUGAAAAAUUAAUGCAUGAAGACAAAGUGCAUUUCUAUCCUCUUAUAUUAUAUGUAUUUUUUUUUCUCUAUAUACCAUAUGAAUAAUAUGUCGGUUUUUUUUACAAUGACAGUAUAAUGUGUGUUUUUUUAUUUUCUUAGUACAGAUGUGUUUUUUUUUAUAGAAUUCAUAUUGAAUUAAAAUGUUAUGCUUUAUACAUUAAAUAAUACAUGUAUCUAUAUCUAUAAGUCAGAGAGGCGGCAAUAUAUGAAAGGAAAGUUGAAAAUAUUUAGAUAUAUUUAUACUGCUUUAUUAGUGCGACUGUGUUUCGGUACAAAAUGUUGAAUUGUUGUUGUCACCAUAUGGGAUCCAUAGUAACUAUUUUGUUAAACUGUGAAAAUGACUUGUGCGGUUUAUAAUAGAUUCUUGAGUGGGAUUUGAUUAAUGGUAAUUUUUUUUGAUAAAGGAAAAGGUAUAAUAAAGACACUUUUUCUGCCCCCUUAAGGAAGUUCGCUUGCAAAGUUUCAAAAUAAAUAGCUUUCCAUAACACUAGUAUAUAUUGAUAGGGGAUUAAUUGAGGAAUCAAAAAAGCAAAAAAAUAUAGGGGUUAAUGUGCUAGUUUUCGAGAUAUUAGCCACUGGAGUUUUUUGGGGAAAAUGUUCUCUCUUAAUUUUUCAUAGCUUUAUCAUUGACCAGUUAAAGUUCUGAAAAACUAUUAAAAAAAUGAAUAAGAUUUUAUAAGACUUUUACAAAUGGCUUAUGAAUAUACAUGUAAAAGAUUUAUAAAAAAAAAAAAUGGUGGUCCAUGGACAAUUUUUUUUAAGGCAUUCAAAUUGAUAAAACCAGAAGAUUUGAAAAUCUGACAAAAAUCCCAAAAAGUAUUAUAUAUCCUUUCAAUGGUCAGAUUCAACCUUAGUCUGACAUCAGUUUUGAUAUUUUUUUAGUUUUGUCUUGCAUAUUAGCUUGAGGGCUUUAAAUUUACAUUGAGUGGAAAACACCAAAUACUGACAUAAAGCCUUUUAUCCUGAUUCAGAGUAAUUUCUCGCAAUUUGAUUGGCUGAUAUUGUCCUAAUAAAUUUCAGUACAAUUUUUUAUCACGUCAAUUGGAAUUAUCUCCCUUAUUUAUUACGUCAAUUGGAAUUAUCUCCCUUAUACCAUUGACCUAAUAAAAAAAAUUGAGUUGCUUUAUAGUCCUGAUAUUUUAAAGUUUUUACAGUUU